GAGCCGAGCGGGUAAGGGCAGUAAGGGUGGUGAGNACCUUCAGGAUUGGAUAGCNUAGGGAAAUUAGGUAAUACCGGGCGAAGUUGCGAGGCCGCAUGGUCUGGCAACCAAACGUGUGAAUCGGCCUGGGGAGCGGCUCACGUGGUAUUAGCUAGUUGGUAGGUAAUGGCCUACCAAGGCGAAGAUGCUUAGCGGGUGUGGGAGCACGACCCGCGCCAUUCGCACUGAGACACUGGCGAGACACCUACGGGUGGCUGCAGUCGAGGAUCUUCGGCAAUGGGCGCAAGCCUGACCGAGCGACGCCGCGUGCGGGAUGAAGGCCUUCGGGUUGUAAACCGCUGUCGAGGGGGAGGAAAUCUACCGGGGCACUCUCCGGUAGUUGACCUAUCCCUGGAGGAAGCACGGGCUAAGUUCGUGCCAGCAGCCGCGGUAAGACGAACCGUGCGAACGUUGUUCGGAUUCACUGGGCUUAAAGGGCGCGUAGGCGGUCCGCCAAGUCAGGGGUGAAAUCUUUCGGCUCAACCGGAAAAUUGCCUUUGAUACUGGCGGGCUCGAAGAGGGUAGGGGUUGCGGGAACAGCCAGUGGAGCGGUGAAAUGCG
RNAcentral lists this ribosomal RNA (600 nucleotides) under uncultured soil bacterium S0211. RNAcentral describes it as "bacterial SSU rRNA". It matches the Rfam family "Bacterial small subunit ribosomal RNA", at positions 88 to 690 of the family's 1533-position model. The record is from RNAcentral.